GGGUUAUUGGUCUAAUGGUAUGAUUCGUGUCUCGGGUGCACGAGGAAGGGGUUCAAUUCCCCUAUAACCCC
Molecule: non-coding RNA, 71 nt
Organism: Anaeramoeba ignava
Lineage: Eukaryota; Anaeramoebidae
Source: the annotation of a GenBank genome assembly